Molecule: non-coding RNA, 46 nt
Organism: Calypte anna (Anna's hummingbird)
Lineage: Eukaryota; Metazoa; Chordata; Aves; Apodiformes; Trochilidae
Source: Rfam
CCAACGGCUCUUUUAAGAGCCACCCAAAUACUCUCAAAGAGAGCUG